GACGGAGGAUGCAAGCGUGAUCCGGAAUGAUUGGGCGUAAAGCGUCCGCAGGUGGCAGUUCAAGUCUGCUGUCAAAGACCGGGGCUUAACUUCGGAAAGGCAGUGGAAACUGAACAGCUAGAGUAUGGUAGGGGCAGAGGGAAUUCCUGGUGUAGCGGUGAAAUGCGUAGAGAUCAGGAAGAACAUCGGUGGCGAAGGCGCUCUGCUGGACCAUAACUGACACUCAGGGACGAAAGCUAGGGGAGCGAAUGGG
Molecule: ribosomal RNA, 253 nt
Filed under: uncultured bacterium
Lineage: Bacteria
Description: partial 16S ribosomal RNA
Rfam family: Bacterial small subunit ribosomal RNA
Source: RNAcentral